Molecule: non-coding RNA, 270 nt
Organism: Vicia faba (fava bean)
Lineage: Eukaryota; Viridiplantae; Streptophyta; Magnoliopsida; Fabales; Fabaceae
Source: the annotation of a GenBank genome assembly
AUGGCUAUCAACCGAGUAUAUUUUUUCAUUGCAAUUCUUUGUAUUGCUUUAGUUUUGCAUCCAGGUGGUGCAAGAAGAUAUGAAGAAAUUAUGAGUGAUGAUAUCACGACUGAUUGUUUUGACACACCAGAAUGUCCAUUAUCUAAUGAAAGUUGUUUACAGAGAUGUGAACGACGAGAAAACAUGGCUAUCAACCGAGUAUAUUUUUUCAUUGCAAUUCUUUGUAUUGCUUUAGUUUUGCAUCCAGGUGGUGCAAGAAGAUAUGAGUGA